GUCUAUGGCCAUACUACCCUGAAUGUGCCUGAUCUUGUCUGAUCUCAGAAGCAAAGCAGGGUCGGGUCUGGUUAGUACUUGAAUGG
RNAcentral lists this ribosomal RNA (86 nucleotides) under Ailuropoda melanoleuca (giant panda). The record is from RNAcentral. Lineage: Eukaryota; Metazoa; Chordata; Mammalia; Carnivora; Ursidae.